RNAcentral lists this long non-coding RNA (375 nucleotides) under Mytilus galloprovincialis (Mediterranean mussel). Lineage: Eukaryota; Metazoa; Mollusca; Bivalvia; Mytilida; Mytilidae. The record is from RNAcentral.
UGAAAUAUAUAUAGUUACUACUUAUAGUUAACAGCUUGUACAUAAAAAAAAAAUGAUAGUGCGUGUAAACCAUCUUGACAUUUUUUUUUUCAUUAACUUUUACACUGUUUCUGUUAAGUCUGUGCAUUUAUACGUUAUAUGUGUUUUACACCCCAAAAAAUUUACACAAAGUGACACAGACAAUUGUUUUGAGAGGCUGAACAUCAAUUAUUAUAAAACAAUCCAAUCAUAUGAGGCAAAAGGUGUGAUAAUAAAUUCUCAUGCCAUUACUUUAAUACCAGAUGGAACCAGUUCACAAUGUACAUUUGACAUCAUAACUUGAUACUUAUUUGGUUCAUUAUUAAAUAAAAAGAGUUUGUUUGUAAACGUCAUAGC